RNAcentral lists this ribosomal RNA (497 nucleotides) under uncultured bacterium. Its description in RNAcentral is "partial 16S ribosomal RNA". It matches the Rfam family "Bacterial small subunit ribosomal RNA", at positions 28 to 507 of the family's 1533-position model. The record is from RNAcentral.
GAUGAACGCUGGCGGCGUGCCUAAUACAUGCAAGUCGAGCGAACAGACGAGGAGCUUGCUCCUCUGCCGUUAGCGGCGGACGGGUGAGUAACACGUGGAUAACCUACCUAUUAGACUGGGAUAACUUCGUGAAAACGGAGCUAAUACCGGAUAAUAUAUUGAACCGCAUGGUUCAAUAGUGAAAGACGGUUUUGCUGUCACUUAUAGAUGGAUCCGCGCCGCAUUAGCUAGUUGGUAAGGUAACGGCUUACCAAGGCAACGAUGCGUAGCCGACCUGAGAGGGUGAUCGGCCACACUGGAACUGAGACACGGUCCAGACUCCUACGGGAGGCAGCAGUAGGGAAUCUUCCGCAAUGGGCGAAAGCCUGACGGAGCAACGCCGCGUGAGUGAUGAAGGUCUUCGGAUCGUAAAACUCUGUUAUUAGGGAAGAACAAAUGUGUAAGUAACUAUGCACGUCUUGACGGUACCUAAUCAGAAAGCCACGGCUAACUACGUG